RNAcentral lists this ribosomal RNA (316 nucleotides) under uncultured Campylobacter sp. RNAcentral's name for it is "bacterial SSU rRNA". It matches the Rfam family "Bacterial small subunit ribosomal RNA", at positions 355 to 686 of the family's 1533-position model. Lineage: Bacteria; Pseudomonadati; Campylobacterota; Epsilonproteobacteria; Campylobacterales; Campylobacteraceae. The record is from RNAcentral.
UAGGGAAUAUUGCUCAAUGGGGCGAAAGCCUGAAGCAGCAACGCCGCGUGGAGGAUGACACUUUUCGGAGCGUAAACUCCUUUUCUUAGGGAAGAAAUUUGACGGUACCUAAGGAAUAAGCACCGGCUAACUCCGUGCCAGCAGCCGCGGUAAUACGGAGGGUGCAAGCGUUACUCGGAAUCACUGGGCGUAAAGGACGCGUAGGCGGAUUAUCAAGUCUUUUGUGAAAUCUAAUGGCUUAACCAUUAAACUGCUUGAGAAACUGAUAAUCUAGAGUGAGGGAGAGGCAGAUGGAAUUGGUGGUGUAGGGUAAAUA